Megachile rotundata (alfalfa leafcutting bee) is the source of this 923-nucleotide long non-coding RNA. RefSeq lists it as uncharacterized. Lineage: Eukaryota; Metazoa; Arthropoda; Insecta; Hymenoptera; Megachilidae. The record is from RefSeq and is a predicted model, not a curated record.
CACUGUGUCCAGUACUGUUCAAGCUGCUGAAGUGUUCGGAUCGACCGUAACACCUCCUACCGGGAUGAAGCCAGAAGAGAGGAUUCUGACCACCUUCUGGGUGCUGCUAUGACUUUUCUUCGAUACAUGGAACAACAAUACAUAAACAACUGAAGCGAUACCUACUUCGUUCAACACUUAAACUAACCACGUAAGGUAACAAGGCGAAUCCGAAAAGAAUAAAUCGAUAGACAUCAACCACGAUACACUAUAUGUAUACAGGAUGUUCAGAGAUUUACUACCCAGCGGUUUUCUCGUAAACGACUAGUACAAGAAAAAAAUGAGAGGAAAAAGUGAUAGUGUUUUUUAUAAUCAACAUAACGAAGUGUAUAAACUUUUCGUGUUUAUACUAUUUUUUGAGAAGUGAAGGUAACUUUCAGUUUUUUGAAUGGAAUAGUAUAUAUUUUUUUAUAUCAUAUGAAAGGGCGUAUCGAAACGAAUUCAACGAUGUAUUACAUCAUGACUUUGAGACCCAUUCAGAGUCUAAAACAAACGAAAUGUUUCAAAUAUUUCGUAUUACUGUACUUACCGUAAUUUUUCUACUGAUCUGUUUACAUUUCGUGUUUAAUGUGAUUUCCAUUAUCUAGAAAGCACUUUUGGUGGUUUUGUAAAAUGAUUAGGUCUGCGUUAGUGUUUACUUCUAUUACAAGGUGUGCAGAAAUAUUUGAGCAUUAUUUCACAGAUUGGUUACUGAUAUCUAGUGCGAUGUAUCGUUUUAAAGCAAAAGAUAACAGGCGCGUGUGCAUCAGUACCUCAAACAACAAUACCAGAAGCCACCAAAAGUGUAUUGUAUAGGGCACAAAAGUGUAUAUAAUAAGAACUUAUUAUUAUAUUUACACUUGUAUCUAUGCAUGUAUGUAAUUAAUAGUUGUACGUACUUUCAA